Molecule: long non-coding RNA, 706 nt
Filed under: Homo sapiens (human)
Lineage: Eukaryota; Metazoa; Chordata; Mammalia; Primates; Hominidae
Description: HSALNT0085792
Source: RNAcentral
UAUAUUCAUAAUAUACUUUUAUACAUGAGUAUUAUAUAAAUUAAAUUAAUAUUUAAUGUUUUAUAUUCUUCAAGGAAGGGCAUUAUGCUUGGUGUGAAGAUACCUUUAAAAUGGAGUGAGAUACUUGAAUAUCAGUUGUACUCAGGAAAGAAUCCCUCAAUGGCUAGUCCUGGUAAGUUUAUAUCCUUCAUAACAGAUGUGUCUAUAUAAUCUGUGUAUGUCUCUAAAGAAAAUGAACUUAGAAUCCAAAGGCGAUCUAAGUAAUUGUGUCUAUAGAUACAGUUAUUUUACUGUCUGUAGAUGGUAUGGUAUUUCCAGCCACCUCCACCAAUUACAGCAGAUUGAUCAAUGCCAUCUAUUCUACAGAGUCCUCUAUUUCUCUCUCUUCUGCCAUGUCUUUCGGCUAAAUGCAAAAAGAAAAAUUGAGAGAAAGAAGACUUACAAAUUUGAAUUUCCGUGUUUCCACUUUUCAUCCUUAUUUUACAGUCGAUUAAUGAGUCCAUAAAUGAACAUUUUGUUCUCCCCCAUGUUAAUUUAACUUUUGUUCUCCUCUGAUGUAAACUUUAAUUGUUUAAGUACUCUGUCUAGUUUUAUGACAAUUAUUGUUUUCAGUUUCACUUCAGUGAAUGUCUUCACUCAUACAUUUUAGAUUUAUUCAGUGAGGAGUUUGUCCACAGUAUACAUUCCAAAUAAGUAUUACUUUAGA